This 451-nucleotide ribosomal RNA is filed under the name uncultured bacterium. RNAcentral describes it as "bacterial SSU rRNA". It matches the Rfam family "Bacterial small subunit ribosomal RNA", at positions 329 to 794 of the family's 1533-position model. The record is from RNAcentral.
GACCAGACUCCUACGGGAGGCAGCAGUGGGGAAUAUUGGACAAUGGGGGGAACCCUGAUCCAGCGACGCCGCGUGAGUGAAGAAGUAUUUCGGUAUGUAAAGCUCUAUCAGCAGGGAAGAAAGAAAUGACGGUACCUGACUAAGAAGCCCCGGCUAACUACGUGCCAGCAGCCGCGGUAAUACGUAGGGGGCAAGCGUUAUCCGGAUUUACUGGGUGUAAAGGGAGCGUAGACGGCAGUGCAAGUCUGAAGUGAAAGGCGGGGGCCCAACCCCCGGACUGCUUUGGAAACUGUGCUGCUGGAGUGCAGGAGAGGCAAGUGGAAUUCCUAGUGUAGCGGUGAAAUGCGUAGAUAUUAGGAGGAACACCGGUGGCGAAGGCGGCCUGCUGGACUGCAACUGACGUUGAGGCCCGAAAGCGUGGGGAGCAAACAGGAUUAGAUACCCCGGUAAC